Neofelis nebulosa (Clouded leopard) is the source of this 7293-nucleotide long non-coding RNA. RefSeq lists it as uncharacterized. NCBI's taxonomy places the organism in Eukaryota, Metazoa, Chordata, Mammalia, Carnivora, Felidae. The record is from RefSeq and is a predicted model, not a curated record. The transcript has 3 exons.
AACACAUUUCUCUGUCCUCACUACAGUCACUGCUGAGCAGUGGGUCUUCUGGUCUGGUUCAUGGGGAAGACAUAAGGCAGCCGGAUGGUCAUAGGUCUGUUCUGGCAGAGGGGCAAGGACUCGGGGCUUAGUUCUCUCUGGCCUGUGCCAUCUGUGGAUACGAGCUCCCCAUAAGUGAGCUUCAGGAGGCCAGUCCCCAGGCAGGUGGGAGAAGCCCAAGGAGGCCGUCUAACCUCUGAGAAGGGCCACAGGGAUCACCUGGAUGUGUGAGCCCUACCAGGCAGGCACAGCAGUCCUCGGGGAGACUGGGAGACUGGAAGAAGGCUGGGCUCUUGACUCUAGGUUCUUUGGGCCCAUGGGAAUUUCUGUGUAGAUUUACUCCAUUCAUUAUUCAGUCAGUUUACCGAUGCCAACCCCAGGCUGGGCGCUAGGGACACACUUGUCUUCAAGGAGAUACUAUCCCAGGAGGGAGGUGAGCUCAGAGUGGGUAGUGGUCAGGGCCUCCGGAUGAAGCCAGGUCAACCUCUCUGGAAGUUCAGAAGGGGAAGAAGUCAUCCAACCUGGGGGCAUCAGGGAAGGCUUCCUGUGGAAGGUGAUAUUUAGGCUGAGCCUUGAAAACAUGACUGUGAAGAGAUAGGAUGGGAUAAAAAGGGCAUUCGGUAUCUAAGGAACAGCAAAGGCCUGGUCAUGGGAACUCAGCUUGGGAGGUGUUGGUCAGAGGCAGGCAGAGGGGUCUGGACUCACUGUAGCUAUCCCCUGAGCCAGGGAGCCACCUCUGUCCCUCACAUGCAUGUGCACAUGUAGGGGUCACGUUCCAGCUUGCUGGGGACAAGAGGAGAGCUCCUGCCCUGGCUCUCCUGAUUAAUCUAUAAUUAAAUCAGCACAGACACCACAGAACUGUGCUGUCAUUAGAGAGUUCGUAAGGGCAAACAGUGAUUUCUCCACUAACCAAGAGCCCUGCCAGGGGGCUGCAGCUCUGGUCAUGCACGGACAGCCAUCAGGGGCAAGAUGCAAGCACAGGAGGCCAGAGCUUCAGGCAGGAAUAAGAAAACCAGCAGCUCACACUUUGGCCAUUUAUACAGUGUUCCCAUCACUGCCUUGGUUAAGCCUGACAAUGACACGAUGGCCAUGGGUGGGACUUGGGGGGACUAUUAUUUAUUUGCUCCCAUUUUACAGAUACAGAAACUGAGGUGCAGAAAGCAUAAGGGUGAAACAGCCUGGUUGGUUUCAGAAUUGCCAGAUGUGCCUCUUGCCAGCUGUGUGGUCUCAAGCAGAUUGCUUACCCUCUCUGUCCCUCAGUUUCUUGGUCUGUGUAAUGAGGCCAAAACGCUGUCACUUCAAAAUAUUGGUUGUAAGGACUGAAUGAAGCAAUCCAUGCAAAGAAUUUAGCAGCGUUUGAUGCUUAUCAAAUGCUACUACUUAUGAUCAUGCUUUGUUAUAAUUGCUUGUUUCUUGUCCACCUUUCCCACGAGAAUGCAGGCUCCAUGAGGAUAGGGACUGUGUCCAUCUUGUUCAUUGCUGUGAGUCCAGCAAUUGUCGCUUGGUAGUGUUCAGUAAGUUGUUAGUAUCCGAGGCAGCAUUUAUGUGAUAAGCCCACAAAAUGCUAAAGAAAUAUGAGGUACCAUUUUCUCCAUGUUCUGCCUGUCUCUAAAAAGGAUUCAAGGGACAAGUACAGAUCUGCCUUGACUCACGAUGGAGUUAAUGUCCUGAUAAGUGGAAAAUACAGUAAGUCGAAAAUUUAAUACACCUAACCUACCAAACAUCUGAGCUCAGCCCAGCCUAUCUUCAGUGUGCUCGUAACACUUACAUUAGCCUGCCCUGGGCAAAGUCAUCUCCCACGAGUCACGUUUUAUAACAAAGUACUGAAUAUCUCACUUUAGGAGUUGACUGAAUACUGUACUGGAAGGGACAAACAGAAGGGCUGUUUGGGUGCAGAGCGGUUGCCAAGUGUAUCAGCUGUUUACUCCCGUACCCUAGGAGCCCUGCUCGCUGCCGCUGCCGCUGCCCCAGCACCACGGGAAAGCAUCCUCCUGUGCGUGCCUAGCCCUGGAAAAGAUCAAAAUGCAAAUUGGGAGGUGUGGUUUCUACUGAAUGUGUAUCGUUUUCACACCAUUGUAAAGUCAAAAACUCUAAGUCAAACCAUGGGAAGUUGGGGGCCACCUAUACCAUCAUCAUUAUUAUUGUUGCUGCUGUUGCUGUUGUCUUUGUUAUGAUCACUGUUGUGUCCCAAGUCUGCUAUUCAGAGCUGGUCCUUCCUGAAAUGGGUUCAGGAAAAGUCUAGAAAUAAGCAGGAAGCCUCAAUUCACCUGCUAAGAGGUAAGGAGCAGACUGGAGGUGACCGGCUUCCGAAGGGAUGUCUGGGCAGAGGUGCAGAAAACUUUGGGGGCCCUGGAAGAGUCCCUUCCUCUUGUCAUCUAGGGUCUUCGGACCUGCAGAGAGGUCAGAGGGGCUGGAGUCUGCAGCCCACUGGACACAGAAGGGAUCAGAGGGAAUCUGCCUGUGGCAGUUCAGAGGAUCGUUACUGUCUCUGUGCUGCAGUUUCCAGCCUCUCCACUGGGAUCUGAGGUUUGUCACACAAAUAACUUAAAGUCCUAGAUUCUCCAAAUGAUUUACUUUAAAUAUGAUCAAUUUGAGUGGAUUCAGAGUUAUCCCUGUAAUGGUGUCACCCGCACUCACUUGCAUUCUUGAGUGGCAGGUAAAGGGACAGACUUAACCCAGAACUCCUAGAACUAAGAGCCUCUCACCUUCACCUCCAGCCGUGAGUGACUGCUGUAUGUUAAGUCACUCCCCUGUGACACAAAUGCUCACGUGAAUACUGUGCUGUGUUCCCAGAGGUGUCUGCUCAUGGUCUCUCUGUUCUCUGCUGAGGGAGCACACUCAACCAAAAGUUCUGGGGGGGGGGAGCUUAAUACCCCAGGAGCCACUCUUGACCAAGGGGAUGAGGGGGUGUGGAGAAAGACUUCCUCGCCCCUCAGUGCAACGAUCGCCCACGACAAUAACUUGAGUAUCAGCACCCAUCUUGGCUUCCCUCCCUUUCCUGACUCAUUCCCUGCAUCCCAACUAAACUACUGCACCCUGAUCCUCAUCCAGGAUUUGCAUUUGGGGCACCUAGCCUAACACACCCUCCAGAAUUGUGCAGCUUUUCUGACCUACAAAAAUUGUUGAGAGGUGUCUAAGGCCUGCAUACAGCCUUGGGAGUGCAUCUACUGUGUGGGCUGUGAUGACCAAAAUACAGAGGGCUGAGGCUCUAGGUAGGGAAGCACUGGUCAGCAGACGGUUCUGGUAAGUAGAGGCUGAUGGUAGAUGGAAACCAGGUGGCAGAGACCUCUGCCUUGUGGCAGCUUCACCUCAACCCUCGUCAGGAACCCGAUGCAAAUCCUGACCUGAGGACUCUGCUGAACCAAGGGGGCACUUAUUUGUUUUAGUAGUCACUGACUAAGCACCUGCUGUAUGCUGAGGAGGCAAAAGGAUAAAGAAAGGUGAAUAAGAGUGGGUGUCCUUGCCCUUGCCCUAAGGGGGUCAGUGUCUAUUGGGAAAGAGAAAUGUGUCAACGUGUGGGUAGAGGUUAGAGAUGAGCCGAGAAAUUCAUCCAUUCAUUUAGGAUAUAUUUAUUGAGCACUUUGGGUAUACAAGCCUCUGUGUUACGCCUGGUGGAUGAAAGAGAGCCACACUCCCCUCAGAAAUGAGGAAAGGCAACUGGCAUUUAUUGGGCUCCUGCUGUGUGCCAGGCACUGAGUAGGGCGCUCCCGUAGUUCAGCUCAUCUCCUCUCAUAACAAACCCGGGAGGUGGCAGCUGUUCUUAUCCCCACUACACAGACAAUGCCCAGAAAGGUGAUGUAAUUUACCGGACCACACGGCUGGCAAGUGGCAGAGCUGGGGUUCAGCCUAGGUCUGUCAGAUUCCCAGACCCCAAUACUAUUUUUUCCCCUUAAAUCAGACCAAGGUCUGUGGUUUUUGUCUUAAAUACCCACUGAGUGAACCAGUUUUUAAAAGAACAAAACCUGGAAGCAAACCAGGCCAGGCUCAGAUGGAGCCAGAACAAGCUUUUGCUGGGGUCAAGCUCCUGCGCCGAGGCCCUGCCUCAUCAGCAGGGGCCCCAGCCUGGUCUUGACCCCUGUCUGCAGGGAAUCCGGGACACCUGGAAGCUGACCUCAUUCCACCCUGAAGAGUCGGGGGAGGAGAGCUUGGUAGAGGCCUGCUCCCUGUGCCCACAGGCCUCGGAGGCAGCUGACACAGGAUUCAGUUGCAGCCAGGGGCUCAGGUGCCGCCCCCCGCCCCCACCUUCCCUAGGAAUGUCAAGGCAGGGCCUGGCUGGUGCAGGGAGGGGGAGGAUGUUCAGGUUACUAUUACUGCAAAACAAACCACCCCAGAACUUAGUGGCACUAACCAUUUUAUUUUGCUCACAGUCUGUAGGUCAAGAAUAUAAACAGGGCACAGUGGGUAUGCCAGCUUUGUGAUGUCUAGGGUCUUCACCUCCGUAACUAGAGGUGACUCAACAGCCGGCGGCUGGAAUCAUCUGGAGUGUCUUCACUCACAUGUCUGGCAGUUGAUGCUGGCUAUCAGCUGGGACCUCAGUGGGGCUCUCAGCCAGAACAACUACACGUGGCUUUUCUGUGCCCUCUCUCCCUGCACUAGAUUGGGCUUCCUCACAGCAUGGUGGCUGGGUUCUGAGAGCAAGCAUCCCAGGAGGGCCAGGUGGAUGUUGUGUCACCCUUUAUGACCUACCCUUGGAAAUUAGCCUUGCCUCACUUCUGCAAUAGUCCCAAGCCCACCCAGGUUCAAGGGGAAGGAACACAGACCUCACCUCUCGAUGGGAAAGCAUGGGGAAUUGCAGACCCUGUUGUGGCCAUCUUUGCCACAUAAUCUGCUCUAUGUAUAAUCUGCUCCUGAAAGGAGUAGAUGGGUUUGGCUGUCUAAACUAGUAGACCAUUGGGUGAGAGGCUGUGCUAAGUGGAGGCAAAGGCAGCAUUGUGAAUGCAGGAUGGGGGGUCGUAGUCUGAGGGGGUCAGAGAACAAAGAGCUUAGAUUGAGGUUGACCUUUGAGGUCCAGGCACCAAGGCUGGAGAUAACAAGGCAGGGCUCAAUCUGGCACAAAAGAACAGGUAUUAUUUUAUUUGUUUGUCUACUACCCUUCCAUCAGUCCAGCCACCUUACACAUCCAUCCAUCCAUCCAUCCAUCCACCUCUAUAUCUCAUUCACUUUCACUAUGACUCAAUUUCCUCACCUGUAAAAUUGGGGUGAUAGUAUAAACUUCAUAGGGUUGUUUGAAGAUUCAAUGGAUCAAUAAACAUAAAGUGUCUAGGGGAGUGCCCAGCACAUAUUAAGUGCACGAUAAAUAUCACCUAUUAUGAUUAGCAUUAGUGCUAUUGUUAUUGUUAUUCAGCCAUGCACUCACAAAUUGACCCCCCUACCCCCUCUUUCAUCUGUCUGUCCUUUCAUUUAUUCAGCUGUGUAGGUGAAUUAUGUGCACAUUUAUCUUACAUGAAUUCAACCAUAUUCUGAGCAAGAUAGAGGGAGAGAAAACUAAUUUUAAAAGCACAGUUGACUCUACCUGCCAUUCCAGGCAGUGGGUGUGUGUCCCUCAGGGAGUGUGAGCUGAGCCAUGUGACUUUCCAAAUCAUUCUAUAGGAACAUGUUACUAAAUAGGUUGGUGAAUGCAAAACCACGAAUGCUGCAUUUCAGGGACAAUUUAUUGGAUCUCGUGGGGCAAUUGUUUUUUGAGGGAGAGAAUGAGAGCAGGGGGCUGGGGGUAUAGGGGCAGCGAGAGGGAGACGUUGAAUCCCAAUCAGGCUCUGUGCUGUCAGCAUAGAGCCAGACUCUGAGUUCGAACUCACGAAUCAUAGGUCAGGUUUAACUAUGCAUGUUUCACCUUUCAUGCUCACUUUCCUACCUUCUGCAUGGGAUGGGAUCCACCCCACUAUGAGGCCCUGGCAGAUUCCUGGUGACACAGAUAUGAUCACUCUGGCCCCUACAUGAAGAAUGGACAGGAAAGGAAGAGUCUAGAAGCACGGAGACGAGUGGGAAGGCUGAGUGCCACUCAGCUUCCAGUGAUUUCUAGAAGGUGUGGCUGCCAAGGAAAAGUCUUUAUAGAAAAUAGCCCUGGAGAGAGUGAACACCUUUCCCCACGAGAUGUGGAAACUGAGGCCCCGUGAGGUUGGGUGGCUUUCCCAGUCACAGCCAGUGUGUAACAGAGCCAAGAUCUGAACCCACGCCUGCUCACUCUGGAGCCCACACUCCUUCCACACUGUGAAGGAAUACAUGAACACUCAAAAAAUUUGGAAAACACAGGAAAGAAGGAAGAGGGAAAAGUCCUACAUAGCUCCCUCUCCCCAACCUUGGGAUAUAUCUCAUUAACAGCCUGGGAAUCUCCUACUUCUUUUGGCUGAGCCUGUGGGUACAAGCGAGUGACUGACCUGGCCAAGGUCAUACAGAUCAGCACAGUCAGGAUUUGAAUUCAGACUGUUGGACGCCAGAAUUUGAGGUGAACUCAAUGUGGCUCAGGCCUCAGGGAGCCAUUUCCAGUCUUAUGGGAGAAAUGGAAGCAAACAGGUGUGGCUUAGUUUGGCCUCCCCCAGAAGCAGACCUCGAGACAGUGAGGAGCACAGGGGGUUUCUUUGGGAGGUGAUCCCAGUAAGUAGGAGGCAGAGCAGGUGGAGAGUGAGACGGGGCAGGAGGGAAUGUCAAUAAAAUGUGCAUUAGUGAGCGGCUACUAGAACUCAUCCUGCUGGGGACCUUCUGAGAAAUGGUGGAGAGGACACUUCAGAACCCUCUCCCUGAAGGAGGCUGGGCAUUCACCUAUUGGUUCCCGACCACCAUGACCGAAGGUUGCUCCUGGGGGCAUUCACUCUUCUGCCUUUCCAAGUUGUCCUGUGCUUGGGCAGAGCAAACUCUUGUGGCUUCAGAAAAUGCCAUCGUCAGGCAGAAAAGUGGAGGGACCGGUGUCUGGGAGCUGACCGGUGUCCAUGGCUGAAGCUGGAGUCCCAGGUGGACACCAACAACAGUUGCUAUGAGGUGUUUGAGACAUAGAGUGUUUUGGUCACCAUAAAGCACUUGGGGAGUCUAGAGUUAACAAACUGUAUUGCAUACUUGAAAUUUGCGAAGAGAGUAAACCUUCAGUGUUCUCACUACAAGAAAAAAAGGGAACUAUGUGGGGGUGAUGGACAUGUUAAUAAACUUGAUUGCGGUGAUCAUUCCACAACGUAUACAUAUAUCAAAACACCAGGAUGUACCCUGUACAUGUAUAUAAUUUUUGUUUGUCGAUUAUACCUUAAUAAAGCUGAUGGAAAAAAUAAA